Molecule: ribosomal RNA, 428 nt
Filed under: uncultured bacterium
Lineage: Bacteria
Description: bacterial SSU rRNA
Rfam family: Bacterial small subunit ribosomal RNA
Source: RNAcentral
UGAAAGAUGGUUUCGGCUAUCGCUUACAGAUGGGCCCGCGGUGCAUUAGCUAGUUGGUAGGGUAAUGGCCUACCAAGGCAACGAUGCAUAGCCGACCUGAGAGGGUGAUCGGCCACNCUGGGACUGANACACGGCCCAGACUCCUACGGGAGGCAGCAGUAGGGAAUCUUCCGCAAUGGACGAAAGUCUGACGGAGCAACGCCGCGUGUAUGAAGAAGGUUUUCGGAUCGUAAAGUACUGUUGUUAGAGAAAAACAAGGAUAANAGUAACUGCUUGUCCCUUGACGGUAUCUAACCAGAAAGCCACGGCUAACUACGUGCCANCAGCCGCGGUAAUACGUAGGUGGCAAGCGUUGUCCGGAUUUAUUGGGCGUAAAGCGCGCGCAGGCGGUCUUUUAAGUCUGAUGUGAAAGCCCCCGGCUUAACCGG